RNAcentral lists this ribosomal RNA (467 nucleotides) under uncultured bacterium. RNAcentral's name for it is "partial 16S ribosomal RNA". It matches the Rfam family "Bacterial small subunit ribosomal RNA", at positions 28 to 507 of the family's 1533-position model. The record is from RNAcentral.
GAUGAACGCUGACAGAAUGCUUAACACAUGCCAGUCAACUUGAAUUUGGGUUUUUAACUUAGGUUUGGGUGGCGGACGGGUGAGUAACGCGUAAAGAACUUGCCUCACAGCUAGGGACAACAUUUGGAAACGAAUGCUAAUACCUAAUAUUAUGAUAAUAGGGCAUCCUAUAAUUAUGAAAGCUAUAAGCGCUGUGAGAGAGCUUUGCGUCCCAUUAGCUAGUUGGAGAGGUAACGGCUCACCAAGGCGAUGAUGGGUAGCCGGCCUGAGAGGGUGAUCGGCCACAAGGGGACUGAGACACGGCCCUUACUCCUACGGGAGGCAGCAGUGGGGAAUAUUGGACAAUGGACCGAGAGUCUGAUCCAGCAAUUCUGUGUGCACGAUGAAGUUUUUCGGAAUGUAAAGUGCUUUCAGUUGGGAAGAAACAAAUGACGGUACCAACAGAAGAAGUGACGGCUAAAUACGUG